Molecule: long non-coding RNA, 1029 nt
Filed under: Oryctolagus cuniculus (rabbit)
Lineage: Eukaryota; Metazoa; Chordata; Mammalia; Lagomorpha; Leporidae
Description: lncRNA (ENSOCUG00000036259.1)
Source: RNAcentral
AUGUACACACAUACUCAUUCUCACACACUCACACGCACUCACACCCACUCUCACAUGUACUCGCCCAGUCACAUACACUCUCACACACACUCACACCCACUGGCCCAGUCACAUACACACUGUCACACACAUGCACACACCCAUUUUCACUUACACACUCAUUCUUACACUCUCAUGCACUCACAGCCACUCUCUCACACGCACUCGCCCAGUCACACACACGCGUACACACACCCAUUCUCACACACUCACAUGCACUCCCCCAGCCAUAUACACUCACACACAUGCACACAUGCACACACACACAUGCACACACAUAGUCACUCUCUCACACGCACUUGCCCAGUCAUACACACAUGUACACACACACCCAUUCUCACACACUGUCAUGCACUCACACCCACUCUCAUAUGCACUCACCCAUUCACAUACACUCUCUCACACACUUACACUCACACACACUGGCCCAAUCACACACACUGUCACACACAUGUACACACCCCAUUUCACUUACACACUCAUCCUCACACACUCACAUGCACUCACACCCACUCUCUCACAUGCACUCGCCCAGUCACACACACACGUACACACACCCCCAUUCUCACACACUCACAUGCACUCCUCCAGUCAUAUACACUCAUACUCAUGCACACAUGCACACACACCCAUUCUCACACACUCACACCCACUCACCCAGUCACACACCCAUUUCACUUACACACUCAUUCUCACACACUUAGACUCACACCCACUGGCUCAGUAACACACUGUCACACACAUACACCUGCUCUCACACACACUUACACAUUCUCACACACAUGCACCCACAACCACUGGCCCAGUCACAUGCACACUCACAUGCACACAUCCAUUCUCACAUACCCUUACACACUCAUCCUCACACUCACACGUACUGGCCCAGUCACAUGCACUCUCCCCCCUACACGCCCGUUUUCAGAUGCAUGCUCAUUCUUACACUCACAUACACACACACUCAUCCUCACACACACUCGCCCAGUGACAUAG